GGCCUUGUGGCGCAAUGGUAGCGCAGUGGAUUUCGGCUCCAAAGGUUUAGGGUUCGAGUCCCUACGGGGUCG
RNAcentral lists this transfer RNA (72 nucleotides) under Tetrahymena thermophila SB210. Its description in RNAcentral is "Tetrahymena thermophila tRNA-Arg for anticodon UCG". It matches the Rfam family "tRNA". From Rfam's summary of the family: Transfer RNA (tRNA) molecules are approximately 80 nucleotides in length. Lineage: Eukaryota; Ciliophora; Oligohymenophorea; Hymenostomatida; Tetrahymenidae. The record is from Rfam by way of RNAcentral.